GUGGGGAAUAUUGGGCAAUGGGGGCAACCCUGACCCAGCAAUGCCGCGUGAAGGAAGAAGGCUUUCGGGUUGUAAACUUCUUUUAUCAGGGAAGAGCAGAAGACUGUACCUGAUGAAUAAGCCACGGCUAACUACGUGCCAGCAGCCGCGGUAAUACGUAGGUGGCAAGCGUUGUCCGGAUUUACUGGGUGUAAAGGGCGUGUAGCCGGGAAGACAAGUCAGAUGUGAAAUGCAUGGGCUCAACCCAUGAACUGCAUUUGAAACUGUUUUUCUUGAGUAUCGGAGAGGCAAUCGGAAUUCCUAGUGUAGCGGUGAAAUGCGUAGAUAUUAGGAGGAACACCAGUGGCGAAGGCGGAUUGCUGGACGACAACUGACGGUGAGGCGCGAAAGCGUGGGGAGCAAACAGGAUUAGAUACCCGUGUAGUCC
This 427-nucleotide ribosomal RNA is filed under the name uncultured bacterium. Its description in RNAcentral is "bacterial SSU rRNA". It matches the Rfam family "Bacterial small subunit ribosomal RNA", at positions 354 to 796 of the family's 1533-position model. The record is from RNAcentral.